CCUACGGGAGGCAGCAGUGAGGAAUAUUGGUCAAUGGACGAGAGUCUGAACCAGCCAAGUAGCGUGAAGGAUGACUGCCCUAUGGGUUGUAAACUUCUUUUAUAUGGGAAUAAAAUGUUCCACGUGUGGGAUUUUGUAUGUACAAUAUGAAUAAGGAUCGGCUAACUCCGUGCCAGCAGCCGCGGUAAUACGGAGGAUCCGAGCGUUAUCCGGAUUUAUUGGGUUUAAAGAGAGCGUAGGUGGAUUGGUAAGUCAGUUGUGAAAGUUUGCGGCUCAACCGUAAAAUUGCAGUUGAAACUGGCAGUCUAGAGUGCAGUAGAGGUGGGCGGAAUUCGUGGUGUAGCGGUGAAAUGCUUAGAUAUCACGAAGAACUCCGAUUGCGAAGGCAGCUCACUGGACUGCAAAUGACACUGAGGCUCGAAAGUGUGGGUAUCAAACAGGAUUAGAUACCCGUGUAGUC
This 460-nucleotide ribosomal RNA is filed under the name uncultured bacterium. Its description in RNAcentral is "partial 16S ribosomal RNA". It matches the Rfam family "Bacterial small subunit ribosomal RNA", at positions 338 to 795 of the family's 1533-position model. The record is from RNAcentral.